GUUGACGCGAAAGGAAAGUCAAACUUCCAGUGCACAGCAAUCCCAUCCACCCCAGGCUUUACCAGCUGCGGGGCUCCGGUGCAAAAGUGCAUCGGCGAAGGGGAAGAAUAGAGGCAUACAAAACUAUUUUCAGCUUCACAUCUGUCAGUGCAAGUCUGACACCACAAGAUGACAAGCCGGAGAUAUGCAGCACCUGGGAUUGGCGUUUGUCCAAGAGCCCCGCUGCUGCCAGAUCCUGAACUGGAUCACAUCAGCUGUGCAGCGAGAGCCCUUUCAGAUGUCCGAUAUGCAUUUAUUGUUGGAUAGAUACAACUUAGUGAAGAGAAGAGUAAAAAAAAUCGAUUCUAGAGCUCAAGAAAGUAAGGUGGAGGGAUAGAGAGAAGGACCAUAGCCACUCCAGUCUUUGUUAAAGACCGCUAAGGGAAAACCUGACUGACAAUUUCCAAAUCAUAAAGAUGAAGUUCAGUGAAGCAGAAAAUGGGAACAAGACAGGAAAAAGGGCAGAAGCUAGUUUUCCACGGGCAUGUAAAGUUCUGAUUUGAACGGUGUGGACUAGGUCACCAAGAUGUGCUGCGGGAGGAAGAGACGCUCUCUAUGGCUAUUGCUGACAUGGGCUCACUCGGGGCAGAGGGCAAUGAAAUCCUCUCUCUGAUCUGCGCUUCCAGCCUCACGGAGACGGCUGGGAUCUCUCCCAGCUUUCCCGUCGCUUGUUUAUGGUUCCAGAGCAACACAUGGGCGACCGCGGCGUUAACACCUGAGUGGGAAGCAGGAUCGGAGCAGCUUGUGUUGGAAGUUUAAUGACAGUGCCCGCUUUCACUAACUCCUGCUGGUCCCACCAGACACACAGACACCUGUAAUAAAUCUCGUUUCCGCGGAGAAAGAUGAAAGAUGUUGCACGACAUCAAGGCGUUUCAUGCAAAAGGAGCGAACAAUGGAGCACGAAGGCCGGUGUCUCUCUCCUGCACAGAGAACUCCUUUGUGUGUUUAAUUAGGAGGUAAUUACUGAGACACACAGAGCCUGGAGCCAUAGAACUGCAGUGGGGGGAGAGAAGAUUUUUCUUCAGAAGAGAGAGAGGGGGGUGUGUGGAGAGGGAGCUGAGGACGGAGAAUUUAAGACUGCAAAGAGAGAGGGAUGGAACGGAGAGACGCUGCCAGUUUUUGGAAAGAAGGGAGAGAAAAAGUGCGAUGGACAGAGAUGGGAGUGGGGACAGAGGAUGGAGUGUUCGGCAACGGGGGAGAAGAGGGGGGAGUUAAAAACGGGUCUUCAGUGUCUAAGACGGUGAAAGAGAGCGACAGGGGUGUCAGAGGGCCAGCUCUUUGAAGGUUCUCCCUGGACCCCUAUCUCCACGAUCGGGAGAGGAGUGGGGGAGUGAAAGAGACCACACACCUGUCUCAGGUGUAACGGAGCUUGUUCGGAUACGGUGACGUCAGUGCCCUCCCUGCGCGUAGCAGGGACCUCCACUGCCUGGGCUGAGGGAGGUCUCCUUUAGCUCACCCGGCUGGUUCCCCGUUGCGUUACGCCGGAGACCCAGUUCGCGCCCCAGGUGCUGCAGGACGAAACGGGUGGCGGAGGGCACGAGCCCAUGCCGAACCGCGACGGUCACGCAAGUCUUGUGUGUACACUUGUGUAUUUGUGUUAUAUGUGUGCAGUAUGUACACCAGUGUGUGUAUAAACUGCGUAUGUGUAAGCCAUGUGUAGGUACACCAGUGUGUGUGUACACCAAUGUCUUUGUGUUAGGACCAAUGUCUUUUGCGUGUACCAGUAUGUGUGUAAACUGUGUGUGUAUUCCAGGGUGUGUGUGUAAACUGUGUGUAUAUACCAGUAUAUCUGUAAACUGUGUGUGUGUGCACUAGUUUGUGUGUACACUAGUGUGUGUACUCCAGUGUUUGUGUGUACAAUAGUGUG
Molecule: long non-coding RNA, 1906 nt
Organism: Lepisosteus oculatus (spotted gar)
Lineage: Eukaryota; Metazoa; Chordata; Actinopteri; Semionotiformes; Lepisosteidae
Source: RefSeq, a predicted model, not a curated record